GGCUCAGGAUGAACGCUAGCUACAGGCUUAACACAUGCAAGUCGAGGGGAAACGAUUAUUUGGGAAGCUUGCUUCCGAUAGGCGUCGACCGGCGCACGGGUGAGUAACGCGUAUCCAACCUGCCCAUCACUUGGGGAUAACCUUGCGAAAGUAAGACUAAUACCCAAUGACGUCUCUAGAAGACAUCUGAAAGAGAUUUAAAGAUUUAUCGGUGAUGGAUGGGGAUGCGUCUGAUUAGCUUGUUGGCGGGGUAACGGCCCACCAAGGCGACGAUCAGUAGGGGUUCUGAGAGGAAGGUCCCCCACAUUGGAACUGAGACACGGUCCAAACUCCUACGGGAGGCAGCAGUGAGGAAUAUUGGUCAAUGGACGAGAGUCUGAACCAGCCAAGUAGCGUGCAGGAAGACGGCCCUAUGGGUUGUAAACUGCUUUUAUAAGGGAAUAAAGUGAGUCUCGUGAGACUUUUUGCAUGUACCUUAUGAAUAAGGACCGGCUAAUUCCGUG
Molecule: ribosomal RNA, 503 nt
Filed under: uncultured bacterium
Lineage: Bacteria
Description: bacterial SSU rRNA
Rfam family: Bacterial small subunit ribosomal RNA
Source: RNAcentral